RNAcentral lists this unclassified non-coding RNA (348 nucleotides) under soil metagenome. RNAcentral describes it as "partial contains 5.8S ribosomal RNA, internal transcribed spacer 2, and large subunit ribosomal RNA". The stretch from base 1 to 120 matches the Rfam family "5.8S ribosomal RNA", at positions 35 to 154 of the family's 154-position model. The record is from RNAcentral.
GAUGAAGAACGCAGCGAACUGCGAUAAGUAAUGUGAAUUGCAGAAUUCAGUGAAUCAUCGAGUCUUUGAACGCACAUUGCGCCCCCUGGCAUUCCGGGGGGCAUGCCUGUCCGAGCGUCAUUGCUGCCCUUCAAGCCCGGCUUGUGUGUUGGGUCGUCGUCCCCCCCGGGGGACGGGCCCGAAAGGCAGCGGCGGCACCGCGUCCGGUCCUCGAGCGUAUGGGGCUUUGUCACCCGCUCGAUUAGGGCCGGCCGGGCGCCAGCCGGCGUCUCCAACCUUCUAUUUUACCAGGUUGACCUCGGAUCAGGUAGGGAUACCCGCUGAACUUAAGCAUAUCAAUAGGGAGGA